This 254-nucleotide ribosomal RNA is filed under the name uncultured bacterium. RNAcentral's name for it is "partial 16S ribosomal RNA". It matches the Rfam family "Bacterial small subunit ribosomal RNA", at positions 524 to 776 of the family's 1533-position model. The record is from RNAcentral.
UACGGGGGGAGCAAGCGUUGUUCGGAUUUACUGGGCGUAAAGGGCGCGUAGGCGGCCACCGCAAGUCAGUUGUGAAAUCUCUGGGCUUAACCCAGAAAGGUCAACUGAUACUGCGGGGCUAGAGUGCAGAAGGGGCAACUGGAAUUCUCGGUGUAGCGGUGAAAUGCGUAGAUAUCGAGAGGAACACCUGCGGCGAAAGCGGCUUCCUGGUCCAGCACCGACGUUCAGGCACGAAAGCGUGGGGAGCAAACAGG